GGGGUGUGGAGGUGUGUGGUGGGGUGUGGAGGUGGUGUGGUAGGGUGUGGAGGUGGUGUAGUGGUGUGUGGAGGUGUGUGGUGGGGUGUGGAGGUGGUGUAGUGGUGUGUGGAGGUGUGUGGUGGUGUGUGGAGGUGGUGUAGUGGUGUGUGGAGGUGUGUAGUGGUGUGUGGAGGUGAUGUAGUGGUGUGUGGAGGUGGUGUAGUGGUGUGUGGAGGCGUGUGGUGGGGUGUGGAGGUGGUGUAGUGGUGUGUGGAGGUGUGUGGUGGUGUGUGGAGGUGGUGUAGUGGUGUGUGGAGGCGUGUGGAGGUGGUGUAGUGGGGUGUGGAGGUGUGUAGUGGUGUGUGGAGGUGGUGUAGUGGUGUGUGGAGGUGGUGUAGUGGGGUGUGGAGGUGUGUAGUGGUGUGUGGAGGUGGUGUAGUGGUGUGUGGAGGUGGUGUAGUGGUGUGUGGAGGCGUGUGGAGGUGGUGUAGUGGUGUGUGGAGGCGUGUGGAGGUGGUGUAGUGGUGUGUGGAGGCGUGUGGAGGUGGUGUGUGGAGGUGGUGUGGAGGUGUGUGGUGGGGUGUGGAGGUGGUGUGGUGGGGUGUGGAGGUGGUGUAGUGGUGUGUGGAGGUGGUGUAGUGGUGUGUGGAGGUGGUGUAGUGGUGUGUGGAGGUGUGUGGUGGGGUGUGGAGGUGGUGUAGUGGUGUGUGGAGGUGUGUGGUGGUGUGUGGAGGUGGUGUAGUGGUGUGUGGAGGUGUGUAGUGGUGUGUGGAGGUGGUGUAGGGGUGUGUGGAGGUGGUGUAGUGGGGUUUGGAGGUGUGUGAAGGUGGUGUGGUGGGGUGUGG
This is a long non-coding RNA of Clupea harengus (Atlantic herring), 827 nucleotides long. The record is from Ensembl. Lineage: Eukaryota; Metazoa; Chordata; Actinopteri; Clupeiformes; Clupeidae.